Molecule: ribosomal RNA, 484 nt
Filed under: uncultured bacterium
Lineage: Bacteria
Description: partial 16S ribosomal RNA
Rfam family: Bacterial small subunit ribosomal RNA
Source: RNAcentral
AUUGAACGCUGGCGGCAGGCCUAACACAUGCAAGUCGAGCGGAUGAAGGGAGCUUGCUCCUGGAUUCAGCGGCGGACGGGUGAGUAAUGCCUAGGAAUCUGCCUGGUAGUGGGGGAUAACGUCCGGAAACGGGCGCUAAUACCGCAUGCGUCCUGAGGGAGAAAGUGGGGGAUCUUCGGACCUCACGCUAUCAGAUGAGCCUAGGUCGGAUUAGCUAGUUGGUGGGGUAAAGGCCUACCAAGGCGACGAUCCGUAACUGGUCUGAGAGGAUGAUCAGUCACACUGGAACUGAGACACGGUCCAGACUCCUACGGGAGGCAGCAGUGGGGAAUAUUGGACAAAGGGCGAAAGCCUGAUCCAGCCAUGCCGCGUGUGUGAAGAAGGUCUUCGGAUUGUAAAGCACUUUAAGUUGGGAGGAAGGGCAGUAAGUUAAUACCUUGCUGUUUUGACGUUACCAACAGAAUAAGCACCGGCUAACUUCGUG